This is a non-coding RNA of Doryrhamphus excisus (bluestripe pipefish), 803 nucleotides long. NCBI's taxonomy places the organism in Eukaryota, Metazoa, Chordata, Actinopteri, Syngnathiformes, Syngnathidae. The record is from RefSeq and is a predicted model, not a curated record.
UGGGAAUACUGACUUGAAAGUGUACUUUAAGAAUAAUUCAUUUUUGUCACAACCUCGUUUUAGCACAGCUUAUCACUGGGACUUGUUACAUGAAUAAUUACAUUUACAAAUGAGGACAGACAGAAGACCACAUGAAUCCUGCUAACCUCCCCCCGAGAGUGCACUUACGUGUCCAUCCAGGGCCCAGUUGUCAAUUUUGAACUUGUUGACAAAGAUCUCCACGGGGCCUCGGAUUUGGUGAACCUGGAGUAGCAGAGAGGUUUGGUGCCGUUCCAGGUGCGGUCCUUGGUGCAGACGAGGGUGGAGGCACGGUCAGCGUCCAUGGUGAAACCAGGAGAACACUGGAAACUAACCGUAUGGCUGUAGAGGUCGCCACAGCAAAUCAAUCUCCUCCAUCCAACCCCCUCUUCCGCAUGUGUCUUUCUCACACCAGCUACCCUCAUGUCCUCCUUCACUACAUCCGUGAACUUCCUCUUUGGUCUACCUCUACGGCUCCUUCCCGGCAGCUUCCGCAGCAUCCUUCUACCAAUAUAUUCACCAUCUCUCCUCUGGACAUGUCCCAACCAUCUCAGUCUGGCCUAUCUGACCUCUAACAUGUUAUGUCCCUCUGAUGUACUUGUUCCUGAUCCUAUCCAUCCUGGUCACUCCCAAUGAGAAAAGUCAUAAGAAUAAUACACACCCAAUUUACAGAGAAAGAACAUCUGCAGCUGUAACAUGGGUGUCACUGUCACUUUUCAUCAAGCAGUCCAAACAGAAGCUGUAGUAAUUCUACACUUAAACUUAAUAAAGAUUUGUCAGAUCAA